Vicia villosa (hairy vetch) is the source of this 2232-nucleotide long non-coding RNA. RefSeq lists it as uncharacterized. The record is from RefSeq and is a predicted model, not a curated record. The transcript is spliced from 16 exons. NCBI's taxonomy places the organism in Eukaryota, Viridiplantae, Streptophyta, Magnoliopsida, Fabales, Fabaceae.
UUCAAUUUCCACUAUUCUCAUAAGUGUCCUUAAUCCCACACUCUUCCAAAUUCCAAAACUGUCAAAAAAUGUCCUUAAUCCCACUCUUCCAAAUUCCAAAACUGUCAAAAAAAAAGUUUAAAUUCUUCUUCUUCUUUACUGUCCCAAAAUCUCUCUCGUCCUUUUUCUCUCUCACACGAACUCUCCUCUUCUUCUUUUCAUUCUUCUUCUUCCUUCCUCCUUUUCAAUCUGACUUUUUUGAUUUUGUUCUUUCAGAAAGUAUGUAAUCGCUAUUCGAGUGGGUAAAUCAACGAUUUGGUUACUUCAAACGGUAGGACAGGGAAUCCUUCCAUCAAUUUGGGAAUUUCUACUCAGUUCUAUGAUGCCAAGAGUAAAUUUGAGGAAAGAGAGGAGAUAAGGCAGCGUAGAAGGUUGAAGCUGUUUUGCUGCUUUUGGGAUACCCGUGAUUUGGUGGGUCGACAUGAUUUAUGUGAAAGGGGAAAAGGUGUGGUGAUGUUGGCUCACGCGGAAGGGGAAGAUUCGUCGGCGGUGGUUUUGAUGCAAGCUUGGCAACGGUUGUUGAUUUUGGUCUUUCGAUGUCAGGGUCAUCCGAUUUACUGUUCUGUUUUAAAAGGGAUCAACGACGCGGUUAUGAUCCGGAUUGAUGACGCGGUUUCGUCAUUUGUUGCAAAGUUGUUGAUUCCGUUUGCUGCCGAUCAUGGGAAACUGGACUAAGCAGCCGAUUGCUAUAUCAAAACAUGAACUCGAAGGUCACAACUUUUAAUUGUUCAUGAAUUAUACUUCUCUAUAUUUUGAUUUCUAACAAAUUGGGAUAUCUAAAUAAUGGUCUUCCACAAGAUAGAGCAACACCUUGGUUUGACAAGAGCUUCUUGAUUAUUGCAUUGCUGAACUGGGAGGGAAAGUGGUGUAUGGUGGCAUUGUUAACAUCAGAAGCAAUCCUGAAACUAGAGUCAAUGAAUUUAGCUUGGCAUUGACUAUGAGCAGGACUGAUGCACCCUCCUACUACAUCCCCCAUUUCAUCUACUUGACUACAGCUUAUUGAGAGCAUGGUAACAUUGACAGAUUGCACAGCCUGGAAGUUGUAUCGAGUUAUUGUUGAAUAUCUUCAAAAAAUUGAUCAAAAGUUGGAUAGUGCAAAGAGGGAUUGGCUUGCUAUUUACGAUGAAUGUGCCUCUGUCUUAUAUCAGCUACUCCUACAACAUUAGAGGAGGCCAAUGCUACUGAAUGCAUAAUAAUAUAUUUAAGUGUCAGCUGGCUCAUAUAGUGCCGCCCUCGAAUCUUGAUUUCGUACAGCAAAAAAAGAUGUAUCUGUAAGCUGAAACUCAAGGACUACAAGCACACAAAGAAGGGUUCAUUCUUCUUUGGUGGACUUUCAAUCAUCACAAGUGCUGCCAGAAAUGUGGAGAUAUGGAGGAGGAUUCAGGAAUCACGGUGCUUCAGGAUAAGUUCAAUAAGCAUGGAAAUCUUCUUGCUGUAAGUACGGCAGAUAGUGGUGUUAAAAUUCUCGCUAAUGCAGAGGGUUUAAAUCCAUGAGGCCCGUCGAUGCUACUGAUCUAAAGCUUUGUAUCUGCUUUAAUUCGGCAGCAUGAUUAAGGUUUCUCAAAUUCUUCGCAUAAUUACAUUUUAUUCUACACAACUUCCCGUUCCAAACUACCACUGUCGCGAGGUAUGAACGGUUGAUAUAUGCAAUUGUAAUCCGUAAUAUUGCGUGAGUGAGUGUUAAGUGGCAGAAGGAACUUUUCAAAGAUGUAGAGAUUGAUACCAGCCAGCCCCCUUAUGUUACUGAGGUCCUAAAUAACAUUGAGAUCAAUUUCAUGCAAAUGAUUGGUGGGUCACUUUAAUGAUGUGGUUAUCUGUUACAUUGUGUAGUCAUCCUCAUAUGAUUCAAAUGUUUGAUUGUUGAUUGUAACUGCAUUCAUCAUUCUGUCUACUUUGCACAAACUGAUUCUUGAAGAAGUGUAUGAAGAUUCUAUGGAGCUAAAUUACAGUUAGAAUCAGAAGAGUAUGUACUGUGGUCGCAGAUCUACAAACUUCUUGGCACACAUGCUUACUUUAUGUCACAUACAUGUAGGUGAUGAUUGUCAAUUAUGGCAUGUUUCUUUUGGUAGGUAGCUGAUUCUAAAAUCUAAAGUAAAUUCUAAAAUAUCAAUUGUGAUUGUGAACUUAAAUCAGAUUACUAUCUCAAUUAUAUUUUAUUUUAUUAGUAGUUUAAUUUCAUGGCUCAUUAAGAAA